GAUGAACGCUGGCGGCGUGCUUAACACAUGCAAGUCGAACGGAAAGGCCCAAGCUUGCUUGGGUACUCGAGUGGCGAACGGGUGAGUAACACGUGGGUGAUCUGCCCUGCACUUCGGGAUAAGCCUGGGAAACUGGGUCUAAUACCGGAUAGGACCACUUCUUGGAUGUUGUGGUGGAAAGUUUUUCGGUGUGGGAUGAGCUCGCGGCCUAUCAGCUUGUUGGUGGGGUAAUGGCCUACCAAGGCGUCGACGGGUAGCCGGCCUGAGAGGGUGUACGGGCACAUUGGGACUGAGAUACGGCCCAGACUCCUACGGGAGGCAGCAGUGGGGAAUAUUGCACAAUGGGCGCAAGCCUGAUGCAGCGACGCCGCGUGGGGGAUGACGGCCUUCGGGUUGUAAACUCCUUUCGCUAGGGACGAAGCUUAUUUUGUGACGGUACCUGGAGAAGAAGCACCGGCUAACUACGUG
RNAcentral lists this ribosomal RNA (468 nucleotides) under uncultured bacterium. RNAcentral describes it as "partial 16S ribosomal RNA". It matches the Rfam family "Bacterial small subunit ribosomal RNA", at positions 28 to 507 of the family's 1533-position model. The record is from RNAcentral.